RNAcentral lists this long non-coding RNA (329 nucleotides) under Homo sapiens (human). RNAcentral's name for it is "HSALNT0253137". Lineage: Eukaryota; Metazoa; Chordata; Mammalia; Primates; Hominidae. The record is from RNAcentral.
GGAAAUGUUGUCCACAGCGUCACAGGCGACAUUCAUUCAAAGUACAAUGAACUUGAGGGUGACUCGGAAUGUGAUGAAAAAGAAGACCAAUUAGAGAUACAGUAAACAAGAAAAGGACUCACAGAAGACAGUGGCCAGGGCAUCAGACUGGGACUUGAAAUAAAGACAUGAUUUAGACUGGCAACCAGGAGAGGUGGGACAUUAUAUGAGUGUAUUGGAGAAUAGGUAGAACAAAAGUACAGAGGAAAAAAAAAAAAAAACCAGAUACAAAGAUAAGGGAAAGAUUUUAACAAAAUAAAACAGGAUUAAAAAGGUUAUUUGCAGGCUGG